RNAcentral lists this ribosomal RNA (31 nucleotides) under Alternaria eichhorniae. RNAcentral describes it as "partial 28S ribosomal RNA". Lineage: Eukaryota; Fungi; Ascomycota; Dothideomycetes; Pleosporales; Pleosporaceae. The record is from RNAcentral.
GGAUCAGGUAGGGAUACCCGCUGAACUUAAG